CCUACGGGCGGCAGCAGUAGGGAAUAUUGGGCAAUGGGCGCAAGCCUGACCCAGCAACGCCGCGUGAAGGAAGAAGGCUUUCGGGUUGUAAACUUCUUUUGACAGGGAAGAGCAUAAGACGGUACCUGUCGAAUAAGCCACGGCUAACUACGUGCCAGCAGCCGCGGUAAUACGUAGGUGGCAAGCGUUGUCCGAAUGUACUGGGUGUAAAGGGCGUGUAGCCGGGCUGACAAGUCAGAUGUGAAAUCCUGGUGCUCAACCCCCGAACUGCAUUUGAAACUGUUGGUCUUGAGUAUCGGAGAGGCAGGCGGAAUUCUUAGUGUAGCGGUGAAAUGCGUAGAUAUUAGGAGGAACACCAGUGGCGAAGGCGGCCUGCUGGACGACAACUGACGGUGAGGCGCGAAAGCGUGGGGAGCAAACAGGAUUAGAUACCCCUGUAGUC
This 442-nucleotide ribosomal RNA is filed under the name uncultured bacterium. RNAcentral describes it as "partial 16S ribosomal RNA". It matches the Rfam family "Bacterial small subunit ribosomal RNA", at positions 338 to 795 of the family's 1533-position model. The record is from RNAcentral.